CUCCUUUCUUCCAACUUGCAUCUUUCCAACUCCUACUCAUCCUCCAGGUCUCACUUAGAUGCCCCUUCUUCCAGAGAGCCUUCAGAGCCUGGGGGAGGAGCCCUUCCUUUGUGUGUCCAGGGAGAGGACAUACAAGGAACACACGGCCUUCCCUCUCAUAGCAUUGAACAGAUUUUGCCCAGUCACUCUGUGCACCCCGAAGUAGACUGUCAGUGUCCUGAUGGCACAGACCUGAGCACCAUUACACUUCCAGAGCUCCCACAGUACCUCAUAUGCAGUAACUACUCAAUAAAAUAAUGAGUGGAACUGACGUUCUUCUAAUCCAACCCUCUCCUUUAACAAGUAAAGGUCAACUGACCUAGUCAAGGUUACACAGCUAGUGAAUGACAGCCAGUGCUAGCACCCAGAUACUUCACCAUCCAUUUCAGUGCUUCCCAGGUGCCUCACACUGACUGCUCAUCAUUUAUUAAAAAAGAAUCCAGGUAACUUCUGGAAAGCCUAGCAGCCAGCCCUGGGAAAACAGAACAUCAGCAGCCAGUUCGUCCAGCCCCUCCCAAGGUCAGAACUGGGGAGGAGAAAGUACGGCACAGGUGAUGUGUGAUGGGACGUGUCCAUGCUACACACCAGCCAUGUCCAGAGCAAACUCACUCUCACUGCAAAUCCUUCUUGACAGCAAGCAGCCAGUAGAACAGGAAACCCAUGCUUAAUGGCAAGUUAUUUUCAUGGUAAUUGAUCAUCUUGCCUUUCCUACCCAUAGGUUCAGAAAAGUAGACCAAGGAGUCCAAUUCACUAGGAGAGACUGAGACAA
Molecule: long non-coding RNA, 808 nt
Filed under: Homo sapiens (human)
Lineage: Eukaryota; Metazoa; Chordata; Mammalia; Primates; Hominidae
Description: HSALNT0015128
Source: RNAcentral